RNAcentral lists this ribosomal RNA (253 nucleotides) under uncultured bacterium. RNAcentral describes it as "partial 16S ribosomal RNA". It matches the Rfam family "Bacterial small subunit ribosomal RNA", at positions 524 to 776 of the family's 1533-position model. The record is from RNAcentral.
GACAGAGGGUGCAAACGUUGUUCGGAAUUGCUGGGCGUAAAGCGCGUGUAGGCGGCUUGGCAAGUCGGAUGUGAAAGCCCUGGGCUCAACCUAGGAAGUGCAUUCGAAACUGCCGAGCUUGAGUUCUGGAGAGGAAGGCGGAAUUCUCGGUGUAGAGGUGAAAUUCGUAGAUAUCGAGAGGAACACCGGUGGCGAAGGCGGCCUUCUGGACAGCAACUGACGCUGAGACGCGAAAGCGUGGGGAGCAAACAGG